RNAcentral lists this ribosomal RNA (1487 nucleotides) under metagenome. RNAcentral describes it as "bacterial SSU rRNA". It matches the Rfam family "Bacterial small subunit ribosomal RNA". The record is from RNAcentral.
AGAGUUUGAUCCUGGCUCAGGAUGAGCGCUAGCUACAGGCUUAACACAUGCAAGUCGAGGGGCAGCAUUUUAGUUUGCUUGCAAACUAAAGAUGGCGACCGGCGCACGGGUGAGUAACACGUAUCCAACCUGCCGAUAACUCGGGGAUAGCCUUUCGAAAGAAAGAUUAAUAUCCGAUAGUAUAUUAAAACCGCAUGGUUUUACUAUUAAAGAAUUUCGGUUAUCGAUGGGGAUGCGUUCCAUUAGUUUGUUGGCGGGGUAACGGCCCACCAAGACUACGAUGGAUAGGGGUUCUGAGAGGAAGGUCCCCCACAUUGGAACUGAGACACGGUCCAAACUCCUACGGGAGGCAGCAGUGAGGAAUAUUGGUCAAUGGACGAGAGUCUGAACCAGCCAAGUAGCGUGAAGGAUGACUGCCCUAUGGGUUGUAAACUUCUUUUAUAUGGGAAUAAAGUAUUCCACGUGUGGGAUUUUGUAUGUACCAUAUGAAUAAGGAUCGGCUAACUCCGUGCCAGCAGCCGCGGUAAUACGGAGGAUCCGAGCGUUAUCCGGGUUUAUUGGGUUUAAAGGGAGCGUAGGUGGAUUGUUAAGUCAGUUGUGAAAGUUUGCGGCUCAACCGUAAAAUUGCAGUUGAAACUGGCAGUCUUGAGUACAGUAGAGGUGGGCGGAAUUCGUGGUGUAGCGGUGAAAUGCUUAGAUAUCACGAAGAACUCCGAUUGCGAAGGCAGCUCACUAGACUGCAACUGACACUGAUGCUCGAAAGUGUGGGUAUCAAACAGGAUUAGAUACCCUGGUAGUCCACACAGUAAACGAUGAAUACUCGCUGUUUGCGAUAUACAGUAAGCGGCCAAGCGAAAGCAUUAAGUAUUCCACCUGGGGAGUACGCCGGCAACGGUGAAACUCAAAGGAAUUGACGGGGGCCCGCACAAGCGGAGGAACAUGUGGUUUAAUUCGAUGAUACGCGAGGAACCUUACCCGGGCUUAAAUUGCAUUUGAAUAAUCUGGAAACAGGUUAGCCGCAAGGCAAAUGUGAAGGUGCUGCAUGGUUGUCGUCAGCUCGUGCCGUGAGGUGUCGGCUUAAGUGCCAUAACGAGCGCAACCCUUAUCUUUAGUUACUAACAGGUCAUGCUGAGGACUCUAGAGAGACUGCCGUCGUAAGAUGUGAGGAAGGUGGGGAUGACGUCAAAUCAGCACGGCCCUUACGUCCGGGGCUACACACGUGUUACAAUGGGGGGUACAGAAGGCAGCUACCUGGCGACAGGAUGCUAAUCCCAAAAACCUCUCUCAGUUCGGAUCGAAGUCUGCAACCCGACUUCGUGAAGCUGGAUUCGCUAGUAAUCGCGCAUCAGCCAUGGCGCGGUGAAUACGUUCCCGGGCCUUGUACACACCGCCCGUCAAGCCAUGAAAGCCGGGGGUACCUGAAGUACGUAACCGCAAGGAGCGUCCUAGGGUAAAACUGGUAAUUGGGGCUAAGUCGUAACAAGGUA